CCGAGUGAGGGUUCCCUCGUGGGCCCAACCUCCCACCCGUGUUUACCGUACCCCGUUGCUUCGGCGGUCGCCCCCCCCGGGGGGUCCGCCGGAGACCAACUUGAACCCUGUAUGAUAGCAUUGCAGUCUGAGUCGAUUGAUACCAAUCAGUUA
RNAcentral lists this unclassified non-coding RNA (153 nucleotides) under uncultured fungus. RNAcentral describes it as "sequence contains ITS1, 5.8S rRNA gene". The record is from RNAcentral. Lineage: Eukaryota; Fungi. RNAcentral also lists the same sequence under 1 other name.